AUGCAGCCAUGCCGCGUGUAUGAAGAAGGCCUUACGGGUGUUAAAGACUUUCAGCAGUGAGGAAGGCGGGUACGUUAAUAGCGUGCUCGUUUGACGUUUAGCUGCAGAAGAAGCACCGGCUAACUCCGUGCCAGCAGCCGCGGUAAUACGGAGGGUGCGAGCGUUAAUCGGAAUUACUGGGCGUAAAGCGCAUGCAGGUGGUUUGUUAAGUCAGAUGUGAAAGCCCGGGGCUCAACCUCGGAAUUGCAUUUGAAACUGGCAGACUAGAGUACUGUAGAGGGGGUAGAAUUUCAGGUGUAGCGGUGAAAAUGCGUAGAGAUCUGAAGGAAUACCGGUGGCGAAGGCGGCCCCCUGGACAGAUACUGACACUCAGAUGCGAAAGCGUGGGGAGCAAACAGGAUUAGAUACCCCUGGUAG
RNAcentral lists this ribosomal RNA (417 nucleotides) under uncultured bacterium. RNAcentral's name for it is "bacterial SSU rRNA". It matches the Rfam family "Bacterial small subunit ribosomal RNA", at positions 386 to 793 of the family's 1533-position model. The record is from RNAcentral.